RNAcentral lists this ribosomal RNA (454 nucleotides) under Gemella morbillorum. RNAcentral describes it as "bacterial SSU rRNA". It matches the Rfam family "Bacterial small subunit ribosomal RNA", at positions 39 to 477 of the family's 1533-position model. The record is from RNAcentral. Lineage: Bacteria; Bacillati; Bacillota; Bacilli; Caryophanales; Gemellaceae.
GCGGCGUGCCUAAUACAUGCAAGUCGAGCGAAGUUUUUCUGGUGCUUGCACUAGAAAAACUUAGCGGCGAACGGGUGAGUAACACGUAAAGAACCUGCCUCAUAGACUGGGACAACUAUUGGAAACGAUAGCUAAUACCGGAUAACAGUAUUUCUCGCAUGAGAGAUAUUUAAAAGUUGGUUAUGCUAACACUAUGAGAUGGCUUUGCGGUGCAUUAGCUAGUUGGUGGGGUAAAGGCCUACCAAGGCGACGAUGCAUAGCCGACCUGAGAGGGUGAUCGGCCACACUGGGACUGAGACACGGCCCAGACUCCUACGGGAGGCAGCAGUAGGGAAUCUUCCGCAAUGGGCGAAAGCCUGACGGAGCAACGCCGCGUGAGUGAAGAAGGAUUUCGGUUCGUAAAGCUCUGUUGUUAGGGAAGAAUGGAUAUGUAGUAACUAUACAUAUAAGAGAC